UGGCUCAGAUUGAACGCUGGCGGCAUGCCUUACACAUGCAAGUCGAACGGCAGCGGACCUUCGGGUGCCGGCGAGUGGCGAACGGGUGAGUAAUAUAUCGGAACGUACCUUUCAGUGGGGGAUAACGUAGCGAAAGUUACGCUAAUACCGCAUAUUCUGUGAGCAGGAAAGCAGGGGAUCGCAAGACCUUGCGCUGAUUGAGCGGCCGAUAUCAGAUUAGCUAGUUGGUGAGGUAAAGGCUCACCAAGGCGACGACCUGUAGCGGGUCUGAGAGGAUGAUCCGCCACACUGGAACUGAGACACGGUCCAGACUCCUACGGGAGGCAGCAGUGGGGAAUUUUGGACAAUGGGCGCAAGCCUGAUCCAGCCAUGCCGCGUGAGUGAAGAAGGCCUUCGGGUUGUAAAGCUCUUUCGGCCGGGAAGAAAUCGCACGGGUUAAUACCCUGUGUGGAUGACGGUACCGGAAUAAGAAGCACCGGCUAACUACGUG
This 490-nucleotide ribosomal RNA is filed under the name uncultured bacterium. RNAcentral's name for it is "bacterial SSU rRNA". It matches the Rfam family "Bacterial small subunit ribosomal RNA", at positions 20 to 507 of the family's 1533-position model. The record is from RNAcentral.